Molecule: antisense RNA, 81 nt
Filed under: Pseudidiomarina planktonica
Lineage: Bacteria; Pseudomonadati; Pseudomonadota; Gammaproteobacteria; Alteromonadales; Idiomarinaceae
Description: Idiomarina planktonica antisense RNA of dnaA mRNA
Rfam family: antisense RNA of dnaA mRNA
Source: Rfam by way of RNAcentral
CUUGGCGUCUUUCUUAUGCGCAAGAAUGCCAUUACCUACCGCAUGCAGCAGGUGGGUUUUACCCAAGCCCGUGCCGCCAUA